UACAACCAUAUCACGAUGAAACACAGAUUCCCAUAUGAUCACUGAAGUUAAGCAACAUCAAGCCUGGUCAGUAUCUACAAGAGUGACUGCUUGGGAAUACCAUGUGCUGUAAG
Non-coding RNA from Acanthosepion pharaonis, 113 nucleotides. The record is from the annotation of a GenBank genome assembly. NCBI's taxonomy places the organism in Eukaryota, Metazoa, Mollusca, Cephalopoda, Sepiida, Sepiidae.